RNAcentral lists this unclassified non-coding RNA (3699 nucleotides) under Hevea brasiliensis (rubber tree). Lineage: Eukaryota; Viridiplantae; Streptophyta; Magnoliopsida; Malpighiales; Euphorbiaceae. The record is from RNAcentral.
AAAAACCCCUGCAAAAUCCUCAGGAUCUUCCAAAUUUUUUUAGUUGAAUCAAUCACUCUCCACCUUUUGAACUCGAUUACCAGAUACCUUCUUUGCGUAGUCUACCGUAUCUAAGUCUCGCUAUAAUGGCUUUGGUACCUGGUCGCCAUUUACACUUCGAUUCAUUUCAAAGCUCCUUCUCCAAGUUCAACGGCUCUCCUCUCCAUUUCUUCAGGUACAAUUCCUCAAUCCCUCUAAGAGCACGCACUCUCUACGCAAAUUCACUGUGUGACAAGAACCCACCAAGAAAAUCCAGUUUUCUCGCCACUGACAAACCGGUUUCUCAACAGAAACCGAUUGACAAAGUUUCAACGACUAGCAAUUGGUUCUCCAAAUGGAACAAACCCAAUAAACAGAACCACCCAAAACCCCCUCAAGCCGUCUUUAAUUAUCGAAAUGGCGACAACAGCGGUGCUGGUGGUAGUACAAUGGACAAAAUUGUAGAAAAAUUGAAGAAACAUGGGUACGUAGAUGGUGAUGCUAAUGAGAAGAAAGAGAAAACAGCAGAGAGAAUGAUAGAGAAAGGGAGUGUAGAGGAUAUAUUCUAUGCGGAAGAAGGAAUAUUGCCAAAUUCACGAGGUGGGAUUUCCAGGGAAUCACCUUUAGGAGUAGAGGAUCUGUUUAAGAGUAAUGGGGAGGUGAGGUUUCCGUGGGAGAAACCUAAAAAGGAGGAGAAUGAGGAUGAGAGGGAGUGGACGGCGAGGGGCAAGAGUAGGACAGCAUUGGCAGAGUUGACAUUGCCGGAGUCAGAGCUGAGGAGGUUGAGGAACUUGACGUAUCAAAUAAAGAGCAAGGUGAGGGUUAAAGGUGCAGGAGUUACUCAGGAAGUGGUGGAUACCAUUCAUGAGAGGUGGAAGGACUCGGAGAUUGUAAGGGUGAAAGUUGAGGGAGCACCUGCGCUUAAUAUGAGGAGGAUGCAUGAGAUACUUGAGAGGAAAACUGGUGGUUUGGUGAUUUGGAGGUCUGGCACUUCUGUAUCUUUAUAUAGAGGUGUGAGUUAUGAGGUUCCCUUGGUGCAAUUGAACCAGCGGAUUUUGAAGAGAAAUGAGAUAUCUACUAAUUCCUUACCAACUCCCACUGGUAAACUUAUUAUGAGUCCAUCUAGAUUUGCUUCUUCCAGUAAAUUGGAUAUGCCUCGAUCAAACUCAGAUGCUGCUGUGGAGGGUGAGGAGAAGAAAGAAACAGGAAUGCUGGAAGAAGUAAAGUACGAAGAUGAAGUAAACAACCUGUUGGAAGGUCUGGGUCCCAGGUACACAGAUUGGCCAGGGUUGGAUCCAUUACCUGUGGAUGCAGAUCUGCUUCCUGGCAUUGUUCCUGGUUACCAACCUCCAUUCCGGAUACUUCCUUAUGGAGUCAGGUCUACUCUUGGACAAAAGGAGGCAACAUCCUUACGAAGGCUUGCCAGGGUUCUUCCUCCUCACUUUGCAUUAGGCAGAAGCAGGCAGCUCCAAGGCUUGGCUGUUGCUAUGAUCAAAUUAUGGGAGAAGAGUUCAAUUGCAAAGAUUGCACUUAAACGUGGUGUACAACUGACUACUAGUGAAAGGAUGGCUGAAGAUAUCAAGAAAUUGACAGGGGGUAUGCUGCUUUCUAGAAACAAGGACUUCUUGGUCUUCUAUAGGGGAAAGGAUUUUUUGUCACCAGAUGUCUCUGAAACAUUGCUGGAAAGGGAGAGAUUGGCAAAAUCCUUACAGGACAAAGAGGAGCAGGCACGAUUAAGAGCAUCAGCCUUGGUUAUUCAGAGUUCUGGAACAAUGGAGCAGUCAGGAACUGCUGGCACUCUCAAGGAAACUUUGGAUGCAGAUGCAAGGUGGGGAAAGAGUUUGGAUGACAAUCAUAGGGAAAAAUUUAUGAGAGAAGUUGAAAUAGCAAGGCAUGCCAACCUUGUCAGAAAGCUUGAGAGCAAACUUGUUUUUGCUGAAAAGAAGUUAACUAAAGCUGAACGAGCCUUAUCUAAGGUGGAAGAGUUUUUAAAGCCAGCAGAAAGACAGGCUGAUCCAGAUAGCAUAACUGAUGAGGAGAGAUAUAUGUUUAGAAAGCUUGGCUUGAGGAUGAAAGCUUUCUUACUUCUUGGUAGACGAGGUGUUUUUGAUGGUACGGUGGAGAAUAUGCACUUGCACUGGAAAUACCGUGAAUUGGUUAAGAUCAUUUUGAAAGCCAAAAGUUUUGAACAGGUUAAAAAAAUUGCUUUAGCACUUGAAGCUGAAAGUGGGGGUGUCUUGGUUUCAGUAGACAGAGUUUCCAAAGGUUAUGCUAUAAUUGUAUUUCGAGGAAAGAAUUACCAGCGACCUUCCACAUUGAGGCCAAGAAAUCUCUUAACAAAGAGGAAAGCUUUGGCUCGUUCAGUAGAGAUGCAAAGACGUGAGGUAUGUUUACAAAUCUGUAUAUCAUUGAUCAGAACACUUGCAUUUACUUACUGUUUGAGCCAAAAUCCAUUCAAUUUGUAGAUGUCUAAGUUGCUAGUGAGACCAGGGACUGCCAGGCAUUGGCCAUGGUACUCUGAGAUGGAGGGUGGGGUCUUCAGUUUCUUCUUCUUAUUCAUGAUCUGGACAUUUUUUUGAAACUCAGACCAUUGACGUCAUGAAUCAACCUUUAGUCUGUUUCUAUAGUUGGUGCGGUAAUAAGGCACAAGAUUUGAUAUAAGCCCAGGAUGAUUAAUGCCAAUCAUGAAAUAUUUUUAAAGUCUGACUUGAUGUUUGCAGACAACAAUUCAGGUGGUUAACUUUUCUAACUAUAUUGUCAAACAGGCUCUUGUCAAUCAUGUUUCAGCCCUGCAGAUGAAAGUGGACGAAAUUAGAUGUGAAAUUGGACGAAUGGAGAGUGUGAAAGAUGAAGGGGAUGAAGAGCUGUAUGACAGAUUAGAUGCUUCUUAUCCUACGGAUGCUGGUGACAACGAGGAGGAAGGAGAUGAAGCAUGUCUUGGGGCAUACAACAGUGAAUAUGAUGCUAAGUAUGAUGAUGAUGAUGAAACUGGCAACAUAGUUCAAAGUAUCCAUCUGGAAACAAAUUUUCCUUGUGAUGUCCAGAGCCAUGAGUCAGAAACAGAAACUGAGGGGGAAAGAUAUCCUGAGACAUUUGAUGGUGAAAAUGAUGAUGACGAUGGUUUUGAAAGUGAUGACUUAGCUCAAAAUCACCAUACAAGUUUUCCAUACAAUGUUUGAGAUAUGAAGCAUAUCAAGAGGCACUUGAGGGUGAAAGCGAUAAUGAUGUUGAAAGCGAUAACUCUGUUCCGAGUCCCCUUACAAAUUUCUUCUGUGAAUGCUCUAAAACAACUUGGGGUUUGCUAAAGACAUGCUUAAGCAGUGGUCAAUAUGGUGCGCAUCGCAGCAGGAUUACAGCAAGGAGAAUGAUGCCUGAAGGCAAUGAGGAUCUCUGACCACCUGCACAUCCCUAUAAUCAGCGUACAGAACAUUUGUGUGGGCACAUGUAUACGUUACCUAUAUUUGCAUUAUUUUUUUCUUGUAAAUUGGUGUCUCCAAUUCUUAUAACAGAAGUUAGAAUUAAGAGCCUGACCAGCUUUGCUGUAUCAUGGAGAGAGACGAAAAUUGUAAAUGACUAACUGUCAAUGUCAUUUCCAUCCCUGAAAUACAGUAUGUGAUCAUCUGUGCCAGUGCUUACAAUGUUCAUCGUUCUGUAAACUUGCAGCUGACUAUUUGAAACAGU